UAUUUUACCCUCCUAGCUGAGUUCCAUUCAACAUCAGUAAAGCCUCCUCUGCACAAGCCUCCUAAUUAGUAUUGAUGUGUGUGCCAGAUGAAGAUGAAUAUGAUACGAAUGGGGAUAAAGGCCCUAUUCGAGUGCUAAUAGGUAUGUGGAUCUCAACCACAUAGGCAGUGCAGGUGGAUCCUCUCCCGCCAAAUAAAUCCAUUGCAUUUCCAGGCCUUGGCACACUUUCAAGAAGUCACCAACAGAUAUUGCCAAGAAAAGAAAUCUACAUUGUGCCGAAUGUUUAUCAUCAAUGCUAGCCCUGGUUUUAGGCUGCUGUGGAGCAUAGUGAAGUCUUUUAUCGAUCCAAAAACCACUUCAAAGAUUCAUGUACUCUCAAUGAGGCUUUUCUUCUAUUUGUAU
Molecule: long non-coding RNA, 402 nt
Organism: Magnolia sinica
Lineage: Eukaryota; Viridiplantae; Streptophyta; Magnoliopsida; Magnoliales; Magnoliaceae
Exons: 3
Source: RefSeq, a predicted model, not a curated record